CAGUCCAUCACAGGAUCUUCUGUCUCUCAGAAUGUGGUCAUCGCCAUGUCGGGAAUUGCGAAGGUGUUUGCUGGGGAGAUCGUUGAGGAAGCUCUCGAUGUGUGUGAGAAGUGGGGAGACACGCCACCCCUGCAGCCCAAACACAUGAGAGAAGCUGUCAGGAGAUUGAAGAGCCGAGAGCAAACUCCCAACAGCAAACACAAAAAAAUCCUCUUCCACUGAGCUCCAGUUCCUCUCUCGUGACUCUCCUUCUAUUUGAAAACACUCUCUAUUAGUAUUGUUGUGGGGGCAAUGGACAUAACCAUGCAUCUUUUUCAGAUUUCUGAUGUGUUUGGAAUGCGCUGUUUUUAUCUUCGGUUUGUUUUGUUUGGUAUAAAGUAGAGGAUGUGGUAUAUCUCUUGUUUUGUCCACAGUCUGUCCUCUAGAGCAUGUGACGAAAUUAAAAAAAAAAUGAAUGUUAAGGAAGACUUUUAGGAUGAUAAAUAUUGUACAAUUCCUAGCUGUCACUCAAAAGUAAGUAUGCCAUUGAAAUGUCUGUGGACUCAUUUUUAAAAAUAUUUUGUAAUAUUUGUUUUAUUUUGAGAACUACAUAUAUGUGCAAGUGAUGUUUUGUGUAUGGAAAUGAUAUAAAAUUGGAAUCUUUGGAGUUGAGGAAGAAAAAAAAUUUGAAAAAUAAAUAUUUUGAUGAAA
This is a long non-coding RNA of Sinocyclocheilus rhinocerous, 690 nucleotides long. RefSeq lists it as uncharacterized. The transcript is spliced from 2 exons. Lineage: Eukaryota; Metazoa; Chordata; Actinopteri; Cypriniformes; Cyprinidae. The record is from RefSeq and is a predicted model, not a curated record.